UUAUAAUAAAAUUAUCAUUUUAUUAUAUACUAUACUUUGUUGUGUCUGGCUUCUUUCACUCUGCAUAACCCAUGUUGCUCAUGUAUCAAUUCAUUCUUUCUCAUGGCUAAGUAGUAUUUCAUUCUGUGGAUAUAUUACAGUUUAUCCAUUCAUCAGUUGAUGGACAUCAAAGUUUCCAGUUUUUGGCUAUUGGGAAUAAAGCUGCUCUGAACAUUCUUGUGUAAGUCUUUGUGUGAACAUGUUUUCUUUUUUCUUAUGUGAAUAUCUAGGCAUUGGGUUGCUAGGUCACAUGGUAAAUGUGUUAUUUUAGUUUAUAAGAAACCACCAGCUGUUUUCUAAAGUGGCUGUCCCAUUUUGCAUGCCCACCUGCAGUGGAUGAGAGUUCCAGUUGCUCCCCAUCCUUGUCAGCACUUGCUACUGUCAAUCUUUUAAUGUUAGCCGUUCCAGGAGACCCUAAUGCACAUGCGAUUACAUUUUUCAGCUUUUGCUGCCUUUUGGGCAAAGCUG
RNAcentral lists this long non-coding RNA (507 nucleotides) under Homo sapiens (human). RNAcentral's name for it is "HSALNT0196494". Lineage: Eukaryota; Metazoa; Chordata; Mammalia; Primates; Hominidae. The record is from RNAcentral.